Ornithodoros turicata is the source of this 811-nucleotide long non-coding RNA. RefSeq lists it as uncharacterized. The transcript is spliced from 3 exons. The record is from RefSeq and is a predicted model, not a curated record. Lineage: Eukaryota; Metazoa; Arthropoda; Arachnida; Ixodida; Argasidae.
CUGGCACGUCGUUUUUACGCGCUACAUGCUAUUGUGCAACUGGUAGCUAGAAAGCAGAUUCCAAGUGGACAAUCCCAAUCAAUGGGUUCUUCGGGAGGACUACUGCUGAUGCUGUACCUUAUGGUGACAAGGCAUUCUCCCGUCCACACGUUGUUCCUGACAUCGAUACGUGAUCGCUGCGUGGUCUGCAUCCCGGGACAGGAUCCGUUUUCCAACUUCUUGACCAACACACUGUGCUGUCCCAUGUUUGGAUCCUGCUGCAGCCCAGAAGGCGGCAGCAAGGGCAAGAAAUUAUUUUCCUUCAGAAAAUGGCAGUGGGACAAUCGCUAGAGGAGGCGUACAAUGAGAGGCCAUUCUCGCAAUCUUGCAGCAACGACGCUGUGAUGUCUUUGGGACCAUAGUGUGACGGUGCGCCCACUUGUAUAGUGUGUUUGUCGCGUGUGCGCGUUAGAAAUAACGCUACGGGUCAUUACCAUUGUCCGCCGAGUCCUUGGAACGGAGAAUGAAGGGCAUUUUUGGAUGGGCUUCAAUCGUGACGGAGACAGUCAGCUGGUUGUGUGUUUUCUGAGCGGUAUUGUGGGACGGUAGAGUGUGUUGGACGUGAUCCUGUUUUCACGUCGUCACUGAUUCUGUAAUACUAUGAGCGUGCCUAAAAAUUCAAAAAUGUUUGAACACAGGCAGCGGAUGUAGAGGUGCAAGAGGAGGACGUUUAAUUAACAAUAUAGUGCACUUAAUGAAAUGAAUAUCUACAGGCGUGCCGCUGAUGAGUUAAAUUCAGGAUUUUACUCUGCGGGGGGGGGGAGGAUAUGUU